AUUGAACGCUGGCGGCAGGCCUAACACAUGCAAGUCGAACGAGCGGCGGACGGGUGAGUAAUGUAUGGGGACUGCCUGAUCGAGGGGGAUAACUACUGGAACCGGUAGCUAAUACCGCAUACUAUCGGAUGACCCAUAUGGGAUUAGCUAGUAGGUGAGGUAAUGGCUCACCUAGGCGACGAGCCCUAGCUGGUCUGAGAGGAUGAUCAGCCACACGGGGACUGAGACACGGCCCAGACCCCUACGGAGGCAGCAGUGGGGAAUAGUGCACAAUGGGCGAAAGCCUGAUGCAGCCAUGCCGCGUGUAUGAAGAAGGCCUUAGGGUUGUAAAGUACUUUCAGUCGGGAGGCGUUACCGACAGAAGAAGCACCGGCUAACUACGUGCCAGCAGCCGCGGUAAUUC
RNAcentral lists this ribosomal RNA (403 nucleotides) under uncultured bacterium. RNAcentral's name for it is "partial 16S ribosomal RNA". It matches the Rfam family "Bacterial small subunit ribosomal RNA", at positions 30 to 526 of the family's 1533-position model. The record is from RNAcentral.